GGGAGGCUAGGGAUAGCAAGCCAGUAAUUAAUAAUAGGCUCUUCUCGUCGAGGGAUCAGGUUAAGGGUAGGCCAAGAAAGUUUGCAUAACAAUUAGAUAAUCAAGCACAUUAAACAAGAGGAGUAGAUAAGAGGGAGCGAAUAAGAUGAAAUUGUCAACCCCCAACAACUCCAUUCAUCCAUAGUCUUUUUCGUCAAUUGAAUCAAAU
This 208-nucleotide long non-coding RNA is filed under the name Vigna radiata. RNAcentral describes it as "long non-coding RNA (VRAD_LNC012493)". Lineage: Eukaryota; Viridiplantae; Streptophyta; Magnoliopsida; Fabales; Fabaceae. The record is from RNAcentral.